UAUGGUAGAGGCGCGGGAAGUAUAAGUAGCGUGCAGGAGUUCCGGAGCGUUUGGACUGCAGGUGAAAGGAUUACCGCCGAAGGGAUGUGCUCCCCGGAGAGUAUGUUGCCUGGGCAUACGGUGAAUAAUCGUAUGACUGUCAGCCGGGUGCUGGAGUGCUACUUU
Molecule: non-coding RNA, 165 nt
Filed under: bovine gut metagenome
Description: Lysine riboswitch
Rfam family: Lysine riboswitch aptamer
About the family: Riboswitches are metabolite binding domains within certain messenger RNAs that serve as precision sensors for their corresponding targets.
Source: RNAcentral